GGAUUAGAUACCCUGGUAGUCCACGCCGUAAACGAUGAGAACUAGCCGUUGGAUCUUUAGAUUCAGUGGCGCAGCUAACGCAUUAAGUUCUCCGCCUGGGGAGUACGGCCGCAAGGCUAAAACUCAAAUGAAUUGACGGGGGCCCGCACAAGCGGUGGAGCAUGUGGUUUAAUUCGAUGCAACGCGAAGAACCUUACCAACCCUUGACAUCCAGUGCAAGUUCUAGAGAUAAAACUGUGCCUUUGGGAACACUGUGACAGGUGUUGCAUGGCUGUCAUCAGCUCUGCCG
RNAcentral lists this ribosomal RNA (289 nucleotides) under uncultured bacterium. RNAcentral's name for it is "partial 16S ribosomal RNA". It matches the Rfam family "Bacterial small subunit ribosomal RNA", at positions 775 to 1067 of the family's 1533-position model. The record is from RNAcentral.